GGCCGCCCAUCCUAUGCCUCGCUUCGCCUCAAACAACACUACUUUGUCUACAACGCAAGCGUCCCUGAGCUCAAGCACAUCAAGCAGCCGGGCGACGACCACCCAGUCAACGAUCACUCCUUUGCCAUUGUGAGCAAUGGCAAACCUGACUGCACCUUCGUCCUUGCCGCACAAGCUGAUAGGUUUGGGCAUGGCAAUCCUUCUCACCUCUGCCUGUAUCAAUCUGGUACCAACUCCUGGAGCAAAGUGCUGGUGAAUGUCGAUUCAGUCCCCUACCAGCUCACCACAUACAAGGCAAUCACCAUAAAAGGAGAUUUAGGCCUAGUAGCCUGGGUCGAUCUCUCACAUAUGAUCACCUUCUGCAACGUGCUGGACAAAAGCCCCA
RNAcentral lists this ribosomal RNA (385 nucleotides) under Triticum aestivum (bread wheat). Its description in RNAcentral is "partial small subunit ribosomal RNA". The record is from RNAcentral. Lineage: Eukaryota; Viridiplantae; Streptophyta; Magnoliopsida; Poales; Poaceae.